This 1372-nucleotide ribosomal RNA is filed under the name uncultured bacterium. RNAcentral's name for it is "bacterial SSU rRNA". It matches the Rfam family "Bacterial small subunit ribosomal RNA", at positions 28 to 1381 of the family's 1533-position model. The record is from RNAcentral.
GAUGAACGCUGGCGGCGUGCCUAAUACAUGCAAGUCGAGCGAACGGACGAGAAGCUUGCUUCUCCGAUGUUAGCGGCGGACGGGUGAGUAACACGUGGAUAACCUACCUAUAAGACUGGGAUAACUUCGGGAAACCGGAGCUAAUACCGGAUAAUAUUUUGAACCGCAUGGUUCAAAAGUGAAAGACGGUCUUGCUGUCACUUAUAGAUGGAUCCGCGCUGCAUUAGCUAGUUGGUAAGGUAACGGCUUACCAAGGCAACGAUGCAUAGCCGACCUGAGAGGGUGAUCGGCCACACUGGAACUGGGACACGGUCCAGACUCCUACGGGAGGCAGCAGUAGGGAAUCUUCCGCAAUGGGCGAAAGCCUGACGGAGCAACGCCGCGUGAGUGAUGAAGGUCUUCGGAUCGUAAAACUCUGUUAUUAGGGAAGAACAUAUGUGUAAGUAACUGUGCACAUCUUGACGGUACCUAAUCAGAAAGCCACGGCUAACUACGUGCCAGCAGCCGCGGUAAUACGUAGGUGGCAAGCGUUAUCCGGAAUUAUUGGGCGUAAAGCGCGCGUAGGCGGUUUUUUAAGUCUGAUGUGAAAGCCCACGGCUCAACCGUGGAGGGUCAUUGGAAACUGGAAAACUUGAGUGCAGAAGAGGAAAGUGGAAUUCCAUGUGUAGCGGUGAAAUGCGCAGAGAUAUGGAGGAACACCAGUGGCGAAGGCGACUUUCUGGUCUGUAACUGACGCUGAUGUGCGAAAGCGUGGGGAUCAAACAGGAUUAGAUACCCUGGUAGUCCACGCCGUAAACGAUGAGUGCUAAGUGUUAGGGGGUUUCCGCCCCUUAGUGCUGCAGCUAACGCAUUAAGCACUCCGCCUGGGGAGUACGACCGCAAGGUUGAAACUCAAAGGAAUUGACGGGGACCCGCACAAGCGGUGGAGCAUGUGGUUUAAUUCGAAGCAACGCGAAGAACCUUACCAAAUCUUGACAUCCUUUGACAACUCUAGAGAUAGAGCUUUCCCCUUCGGGGGACAAAGUGACAGGUGGUGCAUGGUUGUCGUCAGCUCGUGUCGUGAGAUGUUGGGUUAAGUCCCGCAACGAGCGCAACCCUUAAGCUUAGUUGCCAUCAUUAAGUUGGGCACUCUAAGUUGACUGCCGGUGACAAACCGGAGGAAGGUGGGGAUGACGUCAAAUCAUCAUGCCCCUUAUGAUUUGGGCUACACACGUGCUACAAUGGACAAUACAAAGGGCAGCGAAACCGUGAGGUCAAGCAAAUCCCAUAAAGUUGUUCUCAGUUCGGAUUGUAGUCUGCAACUCGACUACACGAAGCUGGAAUCGCUAGUAAUCGUAGAUCAGCAUGCUACGGUGAAUACGUUCCCGGGUCU